RNAcentral lists this non-coding RNA (439 nucleotides) under Streptomyces microflavus. Lineage: Bacteria; Bacillati; Actinomycetota; Actinomycetes; Kitasatosporales; Streptomycetaceae. The record is from RNAcentral.
CGAGGGAAGCUCGUUGAUCGUCGCGUCCGAGUGUUCCCAUGUGCGCCGGUAGAACCCGAUGAUCUGAUCGCGGGUCUCGUCCUCGGCCGCCCACAGAUCGCUGCCGUCGGAGUCCUGCCACCGGGGCAGCGGUUCCGGGAAAGGGCGGUCGAAGGCCUCGCCGAAGUACCUGGCCUCGACGGUGGCCACGUGUUUGACCAGGCCGAGGAGGUUGGUCCCGGUCGCUGUCAACGGCCGGCGGGCGUCGUAAUCGGACAAGCCGUCGAGUUUCCAGAGCAGCGCCUUGCGGUCCCGCCGCAGUCUCCCGUGCAGGUUGUCCUUCGCGAAUUCAUCGAUCAUGCGGCAUGAGCCUGGCAUGGGCUCCUCGUGGUCUCAAGAUCGGGUAUGUGGUCCGCAACGACCGACAGAGUCGAGGCCUGGCCAUGGCCGCCGCCUUGGC